This 253-nucleotide ribosomal RNA is filed under the name uncultured bacterium. RNAcentral describes it as "partial 16S ribosomal RNA". It matches the Rfam family "Bacterial small subunit ribosomal RNA", at positions 524 to 776 of the family's 1533-position model. The record is from RNAcentral.
UACAGAGGGUGCGAGCGUUACUCGGAAUUACUGGGCGUAAAGAGCUCGUAGGUGGUUUGUCGCGUUGUUCGUGAAAACCGGGGGCUUAACCCUCGGCGUGCGGGCGAUACGGGCAGACUUGAGUACUGCAGGGGAGACUGGAAUUCCUGGUGUAGCGGUGGAAUGCGCAGAUAUCAGGAGGAACACCAAUAGCGAAGGCAGCUCGCUGGGACGGUAUUGACGCUGAGGCGCGAAAGCGUGGGGAGCAAACAGG